RNAcentral lists this ribosomal RNA (170 nucleotides) under uncultured bacterium. Its description in RNAcentral is "partial 16S ribosomal RNA". It matches the Rfam family "Bacterial small subunit ribosomal RNA", at positions 340 to 524 of the family's 1533-position model. The record is from RNAcentral.
UACGGGAGGCAGCAGUGGGGAAUAUUGGACAAUGGAGGCAACUCUGAUCCAGCAAUUCUGUGUGUGUGAAGAAGGUUUUAGGACUGUAAAACACUUUUAGUAGGGAAGAAAGAAAUGACGGUACCUACAGAAGAAGCGACGGCUAAAUACGUGCCAGCAGCCGCGGUAAU